Long non-coding RNA from Aquila chrysaetos chrysaetos, 3974 nucleotides. RefSeq lists it as uncharacterized. Lineage: Eukaryota; Metazoa; Chordata; Aves; Accipitriformes; Accipitridae. The record is from RefSeq and is a predicted model, not a curated record. The transcript is spliced from 8 exons.
ACCGAGGAAUGUCUUCGAGUGCUAUUAGUGGAAGCAUAUCAUCUGCACAAACAGGCAUGACCCCGCGCCGGAGUCUUGCAAGAGCAGGGCUAUUUUGAGCUUUUGACAGUGAGGAUGAAGGGAGACAAAUGACGGCCUGAUCCUCCUGGCAUGGGCAACCUCCAAAGCUCUCUGAGGCCUUGUCUCCUCCUCCGGGAAUGACUCUUUUGAAGGCUGAUGGGUGAUUUGGUGGGACCUCAGAGCCCAGGAGGCGGCGGCCAGGAGGGAGGUAUGAAUUUGCCAGGGACACAAGGCCAGGCCUCAGUCCCAUCAGCACUGCCCAGCCGUGCUUAUGGCAAGUCCUGCCUGAGGGUGUGCACCUGUCCCUGAGCUUAGGGCACACAUCUGCCUGCUUUAUUUUCAACCAUAUGAAAGCCAGAGAGAUACGAGAGGGUGUGUAACCGCGUGCAAGUGAAACACACAGGAAGCUAGAGGAAGAAAUGGUUGACUUACUUUGCAAAACAGAGUCUACAGAAGGCUACGACAGCACUGACAGAGGUUCUGCUCACCAAUGCUCGCUAGUGACGCUGGAAGCAGGCUGCACUUCCUUCUGAGAGCUGGUGUGCUGGUGAGGCUGCACUUGGGAGCCAGGGCCUGGAGUCCGCUGGGACAAGAAGCAAACCACAGCACAGCCAGAAUAGGCAGAAAGAGAAAUCCCUGGAUACAGAUGGUCCUGCACAGACACACAGUGUGGGGAAAGUGUUGGAGUGAUGACUUCCAGGCAUGCUGAAAACAGAUCCCGUCCCACUUACUCUAACAUCAGCGGAAGAGAUCUGGGCGGUAGAUUCUGGCCAAGGAGGUGACAUUCAGGAUGCCCUUUCUAUCACCCACCAAAGCAGCUGAGGGGCUCCUGUUACAGAGCAGACAGCACUGACAGAGGUUCUGCUCACCAAUGCUCGCUAGUGACGCUGGAAGCAGGCUGCACUUCCUUCUGAGAGCUGGUGUGCUGGUGAGGCUGCACUUGGGAGCCAGAUUCUGCACUCUUCAGCAAGGGCUUGAUCUUGAAGAACAGCUUCAUCCAGGGCCAGUGCUUGACAUUCAUGAAUGCACGAAUAUUAUACUGGAUGCAAAAGAUGGACUCUCUGAAAGGAAGCCCCUGCACCUGGCUUGUGUGCGGGUGAUGAGCUGUGCCAGCUUCUCAUCCCUCAUCUCCUCCAGGAGGCCUAUCAGCCCAGCUUUGAAGAACACCUUAGGGCUGGACUCCACUGGGACCAGAAGGAAACCACGGCACAGCUAAAAGAGAAGAGGCAGACUGAAAGCCAUCUCUGGAUACAGACUGUCCUGCACGGCGAUGUGGUGUCAGCAAGGCACACAUUCCCCAUGGAGGAGAAAGGAUUCAGUCGUGCUGAAAAUAGAUCCUCCUUGAGACAGAGAUCAGGCAGCUGCCUCCCUUUCUGCCAGCCCUUAAGAUGCAUAUUUUCUUCUCUUGGUCCCUGUGGUUAGUUGAGAGACAAGGAGUAAGAAGGUAUUUUUUAGCUAGGCAGCACAGCCGGACUGGAGAGGGGAAGUGGAAGUGCUUACAGACUGCUGUAUGCUGGCUAGUGAGAACCUCCCUCUCAUGCAUGUUCAGGGUUGUCAAGCUCAUGAACUGGAAACAAGAGAAUGUACCUGCAUGGCAGGAGGUUUAGCAGUAGGAAAAGGAAUCAUUUACUGUAGUCUGGUGAUGCCCAGUCUUUCACCCUGGGAACUACUCUCAGGCCCUCUGCUCCUCUACCUAGAACAGACUGCCCUUCAAGAGGAAGGACUUUGGGGUUAUGGUGGAUAUAAAUAUGAGUGCUCUCACUGUAAACAGGAUGAGCCAAGUACCAAGUGGUGUUAGAAUUGUGGUCAGCUGAUUGUAGGAAGCUAUUAUCCCUUUUUCUUGACAGUGGUGAGUCCUCAUCUGAAACGGUUUGUCCAGGUUUAGGCUCCCCAGUUCAAAAAGGAUGUGAACUAAUGGGAGAGGGUCCAGCAGAAGGCUAGCAAGAUGGGCAAGGGUCUGGAAAGCUUGUGCUAUGAAAAGAGUUUGAGGGCAUGUUUAGUCUGAGGAAAAAAGGCCUAAUGUACAUGAGGGGCAGUUACAAAGACAAUGAUGUGCCAAGCUUUUUUCAUGAGUAGCAGACAAUGUAACAAGGAGCAAUGACCACAGAUUGUUGCUUGAAAGUCUCCAGUUAGACAUUAGGAAAAUUUUUUACUAUUGGGUAAUGCGUAAAUGGCACAGGCUACCCAGAGAUGUUGUGAAGCCUCUGUCCAAAAAGCUUGGCUAAUCAAAGCCAUGACUGAUUUGACCAACAUUGGCAAUAGAUCUGCUUGAAGUGGGAGACUGAACUAAAGACCUCCAGAUGUUCCUUUGCAACAGCAUGUCUGUGGCUUUAAUGUAGAGGUUUCCUCUAUCCAUCCAAAGUAGACAAUUGCUCAAACCUAAGCAGAGAAGGUAUCUGCAGGUUCAUGUCUUGUGCUAAGAAACAGAAAUUUUCCUGGAGUCCUGAAAAACAGCUUUUCUCGAGUGGACCACUGGGCAUGAAUCUUUGCUCUCACUGCAUUGUUGGAGACAGUUAAUUCCAUGCAACCUGUCAAAGCAUAUCCCUCCAGAACACCAGUUCCGGAAUACCGCUUCUGAAGUAUGUCAUCUGGAAAUGUCCUCAGCAGCAGUAGGUUUUGGUAGCUUUCAGUCCUUGAAGAACCACGUGACAUGUAGGCAGAGUCAGAGAACUGUGGAGCUCACUGGGGCAGCAAGGUGCAUCACAUCACAUCAGAAAGAAGUUCCAUCAGGUGAGGAGCAACAGGGCAGGCAGAGUACAGGAGGGUCCUCUUGUUAUCACAGGCUGGACACAUUCACGGUGGUAACUGUAUGCUGGUAAGCAUUUCCCUGGCAUCAUUACAGGAAUUUAGGGAUCCGGUACAAACCUUUUUCAUCCUGAGCCACUAGGUACCAGUUGUCAGAAAAUAUGUGCAUGAUAUAGUGAACAGCAGCUAACAUCACCACUGUGUGUUAUUUCUGACCAUAACAUAACAUUGAAGGAAAUAAGAUUACAUGAUGUCCCUGCCAGUGGCAGAGGUGUUGGACUACAUGAUCUUUAAAGGUCCCUUCCAACCCAAACCAUUCUGUGAUUCUGUGAAUGGCUAUACUGGGUGAGAUCAAAGGAACAUGUAGACUCUCACACCUGAGACAUUUCUCAUCAUCCCAAUCUCCCCAGAUACCCACCCUCCACGUGAUGUCCUACCCAUGUGGUGAAGCCUGCUAGAGCACAAACCACCUCAAGUUGGUGAAAAAAGUCAUGUGACUAGAGCAAAACUAAAUAAGGCACACGUAGGAAACCGUACUGAAAACAGCAAUGCAUUUUCUGUGUCACUGCCAAUAAUGGGAGACAGAAGCACAAGCACAUUCCCACUAUCUCUAUAUGAAGUCUAAGAAGCCUUUGCCCUUCUCAGGACUCAGUGACUUACUUGUCCUCCUGCAUGGAGCCUGUAAUAUUCACAGGAUACAGCAGACAUCCCCUUUAACAGGGAUUCCCUUGCACACCGUGCUAGUGAGCUCUGGGAGGCUGGAGGAGCUCAGAACUGCUCAGCUUCUGCUCCAGUAGGAAACCUCCUCCUGUGGGUCGAUGGCCUGGAGAGCAGGCUCAGGUGCCUACUCAAAUAGCAGUGUCUCCUGUGCCUGGGGACAGGUCACUUCAGCUGCUCCUCCUCAGGUGUUCAGGCUCCCUGACACCCCAACCAGGAAUUGGGAGGUGCUCAGGACUACCGAAGGGACCAGGAAUGUCUGCAUGGAUGUGCUACUCCUCUGAGCACACGUCAGAGCUAAGGUGAAAUGAAGUCAACCCUGCAUGUGGUAGGUAAUUACUGGUGAUUACUCCGCCCUGCUUCAGCCUCAUCAGCUUGCUAGGUGACUAGUCUCCAGCAGUCACUGUAUUUACAGUCACUGUUAAUAUUCCAUAACAUAGAAUUUAUAUACA